UGCAUCCUACGGGGGGCAGCAGUGGGGAAUAUUGGGCAAUGGGCGCAAGCCUGACCCAGCAACGCCGCGUGAAGGAAGAAGGCUUUCGGGUUGUAAACUUCUUUUGACAGGGAAGAGCAGAAGACGGUACCUGUCGAAUAAGCCACGGCUAACUACGUGCCAGCAGCCGCGGUAAUACGUAGGUGGCAAGCGUUGUCCGGAUUUACUGGGUGUAAAGGGCGUGUAGGCGGGACUGCAAGUCAGAUGUGAAAACCACGGGCUCAACCUGUGGCCUGCAUUUGAAACUGUAGUUCUUGAGUACUGGG
Molecule: ribosomal RNA, 305 nt
Filed under: uncultured bacterium
Lineage: Bacteria
Description: bacterial SSU rRNA
Rfam family: Bacterial small subunit ribosomal RNA
Source: RNAcentral